CUCGGUGGGGGGCAUGGUCCCUCAGCCUGGAUUGCAAGAGGGUGCAGGCCAGGCUGAGGGACCCCACUGGUGCACG
This 76-nucleotide microRNA precursor is filed under the name Myotis brandtii (Brandt's bat). RNAcentral's name for it is "mir-9193 microRNA precursor family". It matches the Rfam family "mir-9193 microRNA precursor family". The record is from Rfam by way of RNAcentral. Lineage: Eukaryota; Metazoa; Chordata; Mammalia; Chiroptera; Vespertilionidae.